AAGGUAGUGGCUUACCAAGGUUGCAACGGGUAACGGGGAAUCAGGGUUCGAUUCCGGAGAGGGAGCCUGAGAAACGGCUACCACAUCCAAGGGAGGCAGCAGGCGCGCAAAUUACCCAAUCUAGACAGUAGGAGGUGGUAAAGAGAAGUACUUAGUGGUGGCCAAAUGGUCCCAACUUGGAAUGAACGUAAUUUAAGCAAUUCGUUGAGUAACUACUGGAGGGCAAGUCCUGGUGCCAGCAGCCGCGGUAAUUCCAGCUCCAGUGGCGUGAUUUAAAGUUGCUGCGUUUAAAACGCUCGUAGUUGGAUCAUGCAGUGGUGUUCAGUAACACAGUUUGGUGUAUGCAUACGAUUGCUCGCAAGAGUUGAUUGGAUCUUCAUCAAGCUGUGUGUUAAUGCUGAAUGCCACUAUUUGCACACAAGUAUGACACUUUACCUUCAGUGAGUGAAGUGCCAUGUCUUGUGGAGUGUGCCUUGAAUAAAACAGAGUGCUCAAAGCAGGCGUAUGCUUGAAUGUUAUAGCAUGGAACGAACAAACGUGUAUUUGCAUAUGUUGAGUGGUGGGCAGAGGCAACUUUGUCCAUUGCCGGCGUAUGCAGCACCCGCCCAAAAUACGGAUGUUGGUUUUCGUAUCAGGUGAUGAUUAACAGGAGCGGUUGGGGGCAUUGGUAUUUGGCCGCGAGAGGUGAAAUUCUUGGACCGGCCAAGACUAACAGAUACGAAGGCGUUUGUCUAGACCGUUUCCAUUAAUCAAGAACGAAAGUGGGAGGUUCGAAGACGAUCAGAUACCGUCCUAGUUCUCACUAUAAACUAUGCCGACCUGGGAUCAGCUUAGUGAUUAACAAGCUCUAGGUUGGUCCUCCUGGGAAACCUCAAGUUUUUCGGUUACGGGGAGAGUAUGGUCGCAAGUCUGAAACUUAAAGGAAUUGACGGAAGGGCACCACCAGGGGUGGAGCCUGCGGCUUAAUUUGACUCAACACGGGGAAACUUACUCGGUCAGGACAUCGAAAGGAUAGACAGACUGAUAGAUCUUUCUUGAUGCGGUGAGUGGUGGUGCAUGGCCGUUCUUAGUUCGUGGAGUGAUCUGUCAGGUUUAUUCCGGUAACGAACGAGACCACCGUCUCCAUUUAAGAAGCAGUAGCAGGCCGUUGGUGGGGUGUUGCUUCGGUGGUACCCCAUCGUCGGUCGCAGGUAAGAUUGUUAAAUUCCAUGGAAGUGGUGCGGGAGGGCAACCAAACGUGUCAUGACUGUGAAAGGAGAUGAUCUUCCCUACUGUUAAGCAGUGGUGGGCAAAACCUACACGCUGCCUUCUGGAGAGACAACAGGUAUGUAAAAACCUGAGGAAGUGUGGCUAUAACAGGUCAGUGAUGCCCUUCG
This 1376-nucleotide ribosomal RNA is filed under the name Myxobolus csabai. Its description in RNAcentral is "SSU rRNA". It matches the Rfam family "Eukaryotic small subunit ribosomal RNA", at positions 330 to 1476 of the family's 1831-position model. Lineage: Eukaryota; Metazoa; Cnidaria; Myxozoa; Bivalvulida; Myxobolidae. The record is from RNAcentral.